GAUGAACGCUGGCGGCGUGCCUAAUACAUGCAAGUCGAGCGAACAGACGAGGAGCUUUCUCCUCUGACGUUAGCGGCGGACGGGUGAGUAACACGUGGAUAACCUACCUAUAAGACUGGGAUAACUUCGGGAAACCGGAGCUAAUACCGGAUAAUAUAUUGAACCGCAUGGUUCAAUAGUGAAAGACGGUUUUGCUGUCACUUAUAGAUGGAUCCGCGCCGCAUUAGCUAGUUGGUAAGGUAACGGCUUACCAAGGCAACGAUGCGUAGCCGACCUGAGAGGGUGAUCGGCCACACUGGAACUGAGACACGGUCCAGACUCCUACGGGAGGCAGCAGUAGGGAAUCUUCCGCAAUGGGCGAAAGCCUGACGGAGCAACGCCGCGUGAGUGAUGAAGGUCUUCGGAUUGUAAAACUCUGUUAUUAGGGAAGAAAAAAUGUGUAAGUAACUAUGCACGUCUUGACGGUACCUAAUCAGAAAGCCACGGCUAACUACGUG
Molecule: ribosomal RNA, 497 nt
Filed under: uncultured bacterium
Lineage: Bacteria
Description: partial 16S ribosomal RNA
Rfam family: Bacterial small subunit ribosomal RNA
Source: RNAcentral